Molecule: ribosomal RNA, 331 nt
Filed under: Allapsidae sp.
Lineage: Eukaryota; Cercozoa; Glissomonadida; Viridiraptoridae
Description: SSU rRNA
Rfam family: Eukaryotic small subunit ribosomal RNA (bases 120-331)
Source: RNAcentral
GAUUUCUGGUAUGAUUUAUCUGUCCCGCAACGGUUAACGUUUGUGUGUGACGGUUUUAAAUCUGCCAUCCUUCUAGUGAAUAUAAUAUUAGCCUUUACUGGUUUGAUAUUAUACUUAAGCUAGAUCUUUUACUUUGAAAAAAUUAGAGUGUUUCAAGCAGGCGUUUUGCUAUGAAUACAUUAGCAUGGAAUAAUAUGAUAGGACUUCGGUUCUAUUUUGUUGGUUUCUAGAGCUGAAGUAAUGAUUGAUAGGGAUAGUUGGGGGUGCUAGUAUUCAGCGGCCAGAGGUGAAAUUCUUGGAUUCGCUGAAGACUAACUUAUGCGAAAGCAUU